RNAcentral lists this non-coding RNA (45 nucleotides) under Schistosoma mattheei. Lineage: Eukaryota; Metazoa; Platyhelminthes; Trematoda; Strigeidida; Schistosomatidae. The record is from RNAcentral.
AUUCAGCUGAUGAGUCCCAAAUAGGAUGAAAUACGUUUCCUUGAU